Molecule: transfer RNA, 87 nt
Filed under: Candidatus Palauibacterales bacterium
Lineage: Bacteria; Pseudomonadati; Gemmatimonadota; Gemmatimonadia; Candidatus Palauibacterales
Also listed under: 1 other name
Description: tRNA-Leu
Rfam family: tRNA
About the family: Transfer RNA (tRNA) molecules are approximately 80 nucleotides in length. Their secondary structure includes four short double-helical elements and three loops (D, anti-codon, and T loops).
Source: RNAcentral
GCUCGGGUGGCGGAACUGGCAGACGCGCAGGGUUCAGGACCCUGUGGGACUUGUAAUCCCGUGGGGGUUCGAAUCCCCCCCCGAGCA